This 444-nucleotide unclassified non-coding RNA is filed under the name Hevea brasiliensis (rubber tree). The record is from RNAcentral. Lineage: Eukaryota; Viridiplantae; Streptophyta; Magnoliopsida; Malpighiales; Euphorbiaceae.
GUACGGCUCCACCUUCAGAAGGAGCUGCGGCAGUGGUGUAGGUUGCUGGACGAGGGUGCAUCACAUUCUUGAUUACAGAAAAGUAGAGAUCAAAAUCUGCUUUGUAUUUAGAGCAGUGUGCUUCGAUCCACGUCUCAGCUACACUAGUGGGCACACUAUCCUGGUUGUCCCGCCCAUGCUCUUCAAUGGUAGGGCGAAUUUCUUCAUACACAGAAUUAAGCUUCGAAGUGGCUUCAUUUUUUUAACCCCUCGUACAUGGUAACUUCUUCUCGUGCUUCCUUCGAUGCGAACAAUUUAGCAAAAUCUCCAUCAUUCACUUGCUUACGGCUGGAAGAUUUUACCUUCCGCUUGGGAAGACGUUGGGCUGUCUUCUUCGGUGUUGAACCAGAUCCAAUAUUAAAACUCUUACAUGUGGUAUUACUUGGUUCCAACUUGAGUGUAGAC